Molecule: RNA transcript, 399 nt
Organism: Bubalus bubalis (water buffalo)
Lineage: Eukaryota; Metazoa; Chordata; Mammalia; Artiodactyla; Bovidae
Exons: 3
Source: RefSeq, a predicted model, not a curated record
CCCCCCCCCGCCGCGCGCCCUCCCUCCACCCUCCCAACCCCAGCCAUCCCCUCUGCUGUCCGCCUUGAAGCCCCCGGCACCGGUUGAGCUGUGAAACCAUUCAAGAUCGCGGAUGAGACAAAUACCGUCUUACACGUGCAUCUUGUACUGUUGUGAAAUUCAUCAAAAGGAGACCUGGAUUCGAUCCCUGGGUCGGGAAGAUUCCCCGGAGAAAGGUAUGGCAAUACUCCACUCCAGUAUUCUUGCCUGGAGAACCCAUGGAUAGAGGAGCCUGGCGGACUACAGUUCGUGGGGCGCAAAGAGCCGGACAUGACUGAAGCGACUGACAAUGCUACACUGCCAGGGGGCCAGCAGCAAGUCAGAAAGAGGCUUGAUCCUGGCCCCAGGGGGAAAAGGGGA